AUGCCAGAAGAAUGGAGACGGAGUAUAUUAGUACCAAUCUUCAAGAACAAGGGGGAUGUUCAGAGUUGUACUAAUUACCGUGGAAUUAAGCUGAUGAGCCAUACAAUGAAGCUAUGGGAGAGAGCCAUUGAGCACCGCUUAAGAAGAAUGACAAGCGUGACCAAAAAUCAGUUUGGUUUCAUGCCUGGGAGGUCGACCAUGGAAGCCAUUUUCUUGGUACGACAACUUAUGGAGAGAUAUAGGGAGCAAAAGAAGGACUUGCAUAUGGUGUUCAUUGACUUGGAGAAGGCCUAUGAUAAGAUACCGCGGAAUGUCAUGUGGUGGGCCUUGGAGAAACACAAAGUCCCAGCAAAGUACAUUACCCUCGUCAAGGACAUGUACGAUAAUGUUGUGACAAGUGUUCGAACAAGUGAUGUCGACACUGAUGACUUCCCGAUUAAGAUAGGACUGCAUCAGGGGUCAGCUUUGAGCCCUUAUCUUUUUUGCAUUGGUGAUGGAUGA
This 501-nucleotide ribosomal RNA is filed under the name Triticum aestivum (bread wheat). RNAcentral's name for it is "partial small subunit ribosomal RNA". Lineage: Eukaryota; Viridiplantae; Streptophyta; Magnoliopsida; Poales; Poaceae. The record is from RNAcentral.